UACGUAGGGUGCAAGCGUUGUCCGGAAUUAUUGGGCGUAAAGAGCUCGUAGGCGGUUUGUCGCGUCUGCUGUGAAAACUCGGGGCUUAACUCCGGGCCUGCAGUGGGUACGGGCAGACUAGAGUGCGGUAGGGGAGACUGGAAUUCCUGGUGUAGCGGUGAAAUGCGUAGAUAUCUGGAGGAACACCGGUGGCGAAGGCGGCAUCCUGGACCGGCAUUGACGCUGAGGCGCGAAAGCCAGGGGAGCAAACGGG
Molecule: ribosomal RNA, 253 nt
Filed under: uncultured bacterium
Lineage: Bacteria
Description: partial 16S ribosomal RNA
Rfam family: Bacterial small subunit ribosomal RNA
Source: RNAcentral